This 253-nucleotide ribosomal RNA is filed under the name uncultured bacterium. RNAcentral describes it as "partial 16S ribosomal RNA". It matches the Rfam family "Bacterial small subunit ribosomal RNA", at positions 524 to 776 of the family's 1533-position model. The record is from RNAcentral.
UACGUAGGGUGCGAGCGUUAAUCGGAAUUACUGGGCGUAAAGCGUGCGCAGGCGGUUUUGUAAGCCAGAUGUGAAAUCCCCGGGCUUAACCUGGGAAUGGCAUUUGGGACUGCAAGGCUUGAGUGCGGCAGAGGAGACUGGAAUUCCUGGUGUAGCAGUGAAAUGCGUAGAUAUCAGGAGGAACACCGGUGGCGAAGGCGGCAUCCUGGACCGGCAUUGACGCUGAGGAGCGAAAGCCAGGGGAGCAAACGGG